Molecule: ribosomal RNA, 421 nt
Filed under: uncultured bacterium
Lineage: Bacteria
Description: bacterial SSU rRNA
Rfam family: Bacterial small subunit ribosomal RNA
Source: RNAcentral
CUGGCGGCACGCCUAACACAUGCAAGUCGAACGCAGUAGCAAUACUGAGUGGCAAACGGGUGAGUAUAAUGUGGGAAUCUGCCUUUUGGUCUGGAAUAACACGGGGAAACUUGUGCUAAUACCGGAUAAGCCCUUACGGGGAAAGUUUUAAUGCCGAAAGAUGAGCCUGCACUUGAUUAGCUAGUUGGUAAGGUAAAAGCUUACCAAGGCAACGAUCAAUAGCUGUUCUUAGAGGAAGACCAGCCACAUUGGGACUGAGACACGGCCCAGACUCCUACGGGAGGCAGCAGUGGGGAAUCUUGCACAAUGGGGGAAACCCUGAUGCAGCGAUGCCGCGUGAGUGAAGAAGGCCCUUGGGUUGUAAAACUCUUUCGUCGGGGAAGAAAAUGACUGUACCCGAAUAAGAAGGUCCGGCUAACUU